AGUGAACGCUGGCGGUAUGCCUAAUACAUGCAAGUCGAACGACAGCACAGUAAGCUCUUGCCCCUACGGUUGGCGAGGGGCGGACGAGUGAGGAAUACAUAGCAAUCUACUUUUACGUGGGGGAUUACGGAGAGAAACUUAUGCUAAUAGCUCAUAUGAUGUACCGCAUAAAUCAAUAGUUAUUCACACCUUUGCUGUCACAUAGAGAUGAAUCCGCGUCGCAUUAGCUAGUUGGUAAGGUAACGGCCUACCAAGGCAACGAUGCGUAGCUGACCUGAGAGGAUGAUCAGCCACACUGGAACUGAGACACGGUCCAGACUCCUACGGGAGGCAGCAGUAGGGAAUCUUGCACAAUGGGCGAAAGCUUGAUGCAGCAACGCCGCGUGAGUGAUGAAGGUCUUCGGAUUGUAAAGCCCUUUUAUUAGGGAAGAACAACUGUAGAUGUAUCCAUCCCCGUUCUGACGGUACCCAAUCAGAAAGCACCGGCUAACUUCGUG
RNAcentral lists this ribosomal RNA (497 nucleotides) under uncultured bacterium. Its description in RNAcentral is "partial 16S ribosomal RNA". It matches the Rfam family "Bacterial small subunit ribosomal RNA", at positions 29 to 507 of the family's 1533-position model. The record is from RNAcentral.